GAUCAUGGCUCAGGAUGAACGCUGGCGGCGCGCCUAACACAUGCAAGUCGAACGGACGAUGAAAAGCUUGCUUUUCAAAGUUAGUGGCGGACGGGUGAGUAACGCGUAUCCAACCUGCCCACCACUUGGGGAUAACCUUGCGAAAGUAAGACUAAUACCCAAUGAUAUCUCUAGAAGACAUCUGAAAGAGAUUAAAGAUUUAUCGGUGUACGAUGGGGAUGCGUUCCAUUAGGUAGUAGGCGGGGUAACGG
This 251-nucleotide ribosomal RNA is filed under the name uncultured bacterium. RNAcentral's name for it is "partial 16S ribosomal RNA". It matches the Rfam family "Bacterial small subunit ribosomal RNA", at positions 15 to 263 of the family's 1533-position model. The record is from RNAcentral.